RNAcentral lists this ribosomal RNA (253 nucleotides) under uncultured bacterium. RNAcentral's name for it is "partial 16S ribosomal RNA". It matches the Rfam family "Bacterial small subunit ribosomal RNA", at positions 524 to 776 of the family's 1533-position model. The record is from RNAcentral.
UACAGAGGGUGCAAGCGUUGUUCGGAAUUAUUGGGCGUAAAGGGCGCGUAGGCGGUGCGGUAAGUCCGCAGUGAAAUCUCUGGGCUCAACUCAGAGUCUGCUGUGGAAACUGCCGUGCUAGAGUGUGGGAGAGGUGAGUGGAAUUCCCGGUGUAGCAGUGAAAUGCGUAGAGAUCGGGAGGAACACCAGUGGCGAAGGCGGCUACCUGGACCAGCAUUGACACUCAAGCACGAAAGCGUGGGGAGCAAACAGG